Long non-coding RNA from Phyllostomus discolor (pale spear-nosed bat), 128 nucleotides. RefSeq lists it as uncharacterized. NCBI's taxonomy places the organism in Eukaryota, Metazoa, Chordata, Mammalia, Chiroptera, Phyllostomidae. The record is from RefSeq and is a predicted model, not a curated record. The transcript has 3 exons.
UUUGAAAUAUUUUUUCUACUUCUGUGAAUUACAUCAUUGGUAUCUCAAUAGGAAUUGCAUUGAAUCUAUAGAUUGCUUUGAGAGAGUAUGGACAUUUUGAUGAUAUUAAUUCUUCCAAUCCAUGAACA